Molecule: transfer RNA, 84 nt
Filed under: Candidatus Hydrogenedentota bacterium
Lineage: Bacteria; Pseudomonadati; Candidatus Hydrogenedentota
Description: Candidatus Hydrogenedentes bacterium tRNA-Leu
Rfam family: tRNA
About the family: Transfer RNA (tRNA) molecules are approximately 80 nucleotides in length. Their secondary structure includes four short double-helical elements and three loops (D, anti-codon, and T loops).
Source: RNAcentral
GCCGAGGUGGCGGAACUGGCAGACGCGCUAGAUUCAGGAUCUAGUGGUGGCAACACCGUGCGGGUUCAAAUCCCGCCCUCGGCA